Molecule: transfer RNA, 74 nt
Filed under: Sphaerodactylus townsendi
Lineage: Eukaryota; Metazoa; Chordata; Lepidosauria; Squamata; Sphaerodactylidae
Description: tRNA-Ala
Rfam family: tRNA
About the family: Transfer RNA (tRNA) molecules are approximately 80 nucleotides in length.
Source: RNAcentral
UCUAAGUGUGGCUGAGUGGUAGAGGAUCUGUUUUGCACGCAGAAGGUCCCUGGUUCAAUCCCCAGGCAUUAAAA